GAGCAGCUGGUGACUGCCCAAGAACACCCAGUGUGCAGUGGCUUUCUUCCAAAGAACAUCUUAUGGGGAAAGGAGGGAAAUGAUUCACCUUGCCACAGAGAAACAGCAGGACCACCUCAGCUGAGCAACUGGAGCACAUCAGGAGUGAAAACAUUGACAAUACGUACCUGUGAUGUCAAAGAACCAAAAGGUUUUUUUUUUUUUAAAAAAAAAAUAUUUAAGUAGAGAAUGCGAUCUCAAGAUUAAAUGAGCCAGCCUCAUGCUGGUCAGGAAUAGCCAAGGACAGCCAAAGUUGAACACUUUCUGGUACAGUUUCUGAGUUUCCAUAGAGAAGUUCAUGGAUAUAAAAAGAGUCAAAGGGUUUCCUGCAGAGAGAAAACAAAAGUAGCUUCACCGAAGGAGAGAUGGAACUGAAGACAGAGACGUUAAACCUUCGACUGAGGGGCUAGAGCGGCUCAGUGGGACGACCCACCCUCAAAAUGCAGCUGCAACAGCAACGUGACCAGCUGUCUGUGUCUUCCCAUCCCAUCGGAUGAUUGUACCACACCGUGCUUCCAGGAGGGACUGUCACAGGUG
Myodes glareolus (Bank vole) is the source of this 576-nucleotide non-coding RNA. NCBI's taxonomy places the organism in Eukaryota, Metazoa, Chordata, Mammalia, Rodentia, Cricetidae. The record is from RefSeq and is a predicted model, not a curated record.